Molecule: small nucleolar RNA, 135 nt
Organism: Dipodomys ordii (Ord's kangaroo rat)
Lineage: Eukaryota; Metazoa; Chordata; Mammalia; Rodentia; Heteromyidae
Source: Ensembl
UGCAGUCAAGUCAAAUUCAACUCCCAUCCUGCCAUGGUGGGGGCUGGCCCAGGUGACUGCCACAGCAAGCUUGUAGCCCAUGGGCCCCAGAUCCCUUGCUUUGGGGCCUGGGGAUAAAUUUGGCUGCAGACAUUG